CAAUAGCGUAUAUUAAAGUUGUUGCGGUUAAAAGCUCGUAGUUGGAUUUCUGCCGAGGACGACCGGUCCGCCCUCUGGGUGAGUAUCUGGCUUGGCCUGGGCAUUCUUCUUGGAGAACGUAGCUGCACUUGACUGUGUGGUGCGGUAUCCAGGACUUUUACUUUGAGGAAAUUAGAGUGUUUCAAGCAGGCAUACGCCUUGAAUACAUUAGCAUGGAAUAAUAAGAUAGACCUCGUUCUAUUUGUUGGUUUCUAGAGCUGAGGUAAUGAUUAAUAGGGAGUAGUUGGGGGUCGAUUCGUUAUUAACGCGUCAGAGGUGGAAUUCUUGGAUUGCGUUACGACGAACUACUGCGAAAGCAUUUGCCAAGGAUGUUUUCUAUUGAUCAAGAACGAAAGUAUGGGGAUCGAAGACGAUUAGAUACCGU
RNAcentral lists this ribosomal RNA (424 nucleotides) under uncultured eukaryote. Its description in RNAcentral is "SSU rRNA". It matches the Rfam family "Eukaryotic small subunit ribosomal RNA", at positions 592 to 1018 of the family's 1831-position model. The record is from RNAcentral.